GAUGAAGAACGUAGCGAAAUGCGAUAAGUAAUGUGAAUUGCAGAAUUCAGUGAAUCAUCGAAUCUUUGAACGCACAUUGCGCCCGCCAGUAUUCUGGCGGGCAUGCCUGUUCGAGCGUCAUUUCAACCAUCAAGCCCCCCCGGCUUGUGUUGGGGACCUGCGGCUGCCGCAGGCCCUGAAAAGCAGUGGCGGGCUCGCUGUCACACCGAGCGUAGUAGAUCUCAUCUCGCUCAGGGCGUGCUGCGGGUUCCGGCCGUUAAACCACCUUCAUAACCCAAGGUUGACCUCGGAUCAGGUAGGAAGACCCGCUGAACUUAAGCAUAUCAUAAGCGGAGGA
Molecule: unclassified non-coding RNA, 337 nt
Filed under: soil metagenome
Description: partial contains 5.8S ribosomal RNA, internal transcribed spacer 2, and large subunit ribosomal RNA
Rfam family: 5.8S ribosomal RNA (bases 1-120)
Source: RNAcentral